UACGUAGGGUGCAAGCGUUGUCCGGAAUUAUUGGGCGUAAAGAGCUCGUAGGCGGUUUGUCGCGUCGAAUGUGAAAACCCGGGGCUCAACCCCGGGCCUGCAUUCGAUACGGGCAGACUAGAGUUCGGUAGGGGAGUCUGGAAUUCCUGGUGUAGCGGUGAAAUGCGCAGAUAUCAGGAGGAACACCGGUGGCGAAGGCGGGACUCUGGGCCGAUACUGACGCUGGAUGCGCGAAAGCCAGGGGAGCGAACGGG
Molecule: ribosomal RNA, 254 nt
Filed under: uncultured bacterium
Lineage: Bacteria
Description: partial 16S ribosomal RNA
Rfam family: Bacterial small subunit ribosomal RNA
Source: RNAcentral